Molecule: non-coding RNA, 30 nt
Filed under: Homo sapiens (human)
Lineage: Eukaryota; Metazoa; Chordata; Mammalia; Primates; Hominidae
Source: RNAcentral
UGAGUUUUGAAGGAUGUAGGGAGCCUUAUG